GAACAGGCUGUAGCAUGGUGUGUUAUCCUGGCCCUUAGUGAGGUGACCGCUUAUAUAAGUGACAGGUUGGAAUUUCAUCAUCCUGGCUCUGGGACAGAGGGUCAGGGCAAAGUAACAUCCGGAAGCAGACAGAAUGAGGCUGGAUGAGGCUGGAAGGACAGCUACCAAAAGAAAUGGCUGAGGCAAUGUAGCUUUGGCAAAGACAUACAGGUGGAAGCUGAAUUAGUGAGGAUGACUCCUGCUCCUGUCAUCUCUAAGCUCCUCACACAUCUUUACCUGCACAUGAGGAAAAUCACUCCUGUAGAAUGCAGAUGUUCAGAGGGAGAUGAUGCCACAUCUGGUCCAGCUGAUGGAAGGUCUUGAAGUUCUCUGACUGGCCUCGACUGAAGAUGGUCGUCUCACUGGAUUUAAGGUUCAGAUGCUCAGUAACAAACUCCACCAAUGUGCCAACAGGGAAGCUUUAGGUUUAUUACAUGUUGCUAUGAAGGUAUCGCUGUUUUUCUUUGUGAAUGCAAUGUGCUCCAACUGAAAGUUGAAUUACAACUUAGAAGUAAAUCCUUCCAUCUGAAAGGAUCUAGUUGGGUUAAUAACCCCAUAACAUUCUAAUUUUUAAAUAAUAGAAAUAGAAUCUCUGUAUUGAUUCAGGUAAAAACUGAACUUCACAGCAUGUUGGAGCAAAACAACCAGAUGAAAACUGUGAUGGUGUUGGAUUGUCAGACCGUAAUGUUGCAGCUCAAAGCAGCUUUUCUAGCUCAGUUCAUUCUGACAUUCAGCUAUGAAUCAACACAGCAGAUGGUGAUCCAUGCUGUGGAAGUCUCACAUCUCCUGAUUUAAUGGAGCUGCUUUGCACUUUUUACACUGUUUAUUCACCAACACUUUAUUUAAUAAAAGUCCCAUCUAGUUUUUAUGAGGAAUGUGAUGUUUUAAUUUCUCUGUGAAUAACUGCAGUCUAAUGCAACAGCUGGAGUUGUAACAUCUGUCCUGAUAUUGAUCAUGAAGUAUUGAUCAGAAUACUUAUGGUCAGCAGUCAUCCCUGAAGUUUUACAUUAAAAUCUUUACUUGUGUUGUAAACUUUGGUAAGAAGCAGAAACGUUAGCGUUGCCAUGGAUACAUGAGUGUUAAAUUCUGUCCAUGUUUCCAUUUUGGGAACUGCAGUCCAGCAGAUGAGUUUGUUUUUACUUACAGCUACCAUUCAGUCUGAGAUAUUAAGAAUAAAUAAAUGUGCAUAAUGUGGAAAUGAACAGAUUUUAUUUUUAUUUAUUCCUACAGCAAAUAUUAUCUGAAAGUCGGGUUAUUGUUGUUUAUCAGCACAAUACAAAAAGAUUUAUAUUAGAAAUAUUCCAGUUAAGGCUCUAGAAUGUCAUGAUUUAUGUAAAUUUACCUCAAUAAUAUGAAUGUUCAGGUUAAGAUUGUGCAGUGAUAUUUAUUCUGUAAGUUUAGCUGAUUGAAGUUUAUGAUGCUGCACUACAAUAUUAUUUAUUAUUUAAAUUUACAUCAUUAUUAUAAUAUUUAGGGCCAGACCCUACAGUAUUGAGAUUAAGAAAUCAAAUAAUCUAUAAAAUGUAAAUACACUGAACUCAUUUGGAUAUAUUUAAGUGAGACUCUACAAUAUUAUUUGACACAAAUCUAUCUAAAUCAGAAUUUUAAUCAUUUUUACUCCAAACAUUUACUGGACUGAUUUAAACAUUAAAAUCACUCCUUUCUAAUCCUCUGCUGUACGUUCAAACCUGAGGCCUUAAAUAGAAACACACAAGUAUCUGUUUGAAGGAACUUCUGCAGUCCUGGUUCCAGAACAUGAUGAUAGAAUUAUAGACAAACUUUAACAAAAGCUGCCUGAGAGUUUACAGGUUUUUAUGUUAGAUUUCUUCAGUAAUUUAAUGAGUUAUCAGCAAAAAUCAAGUGUUCAUUUGAUGAACUUCAUUUCUUAAAACAUCCAGAAUUGGAGCUCAUAUCUUUGGCAGCUGUAAAGUUUCUGCUCCUUCAAAGUUCACAACACAAUGAAUUAAUUCCUAAAACACUCUCAAUGCUGGAGAGCAUUUGAUGCUGAAGCAGUGACCAGUUUUUCUGUUUCUUCUCUGGAGAUGCACAAUGAGGGACGUCUGCAGUGACUGAGAAAGAGUCUCACCACAUCCUGACGUGAGGAAAAAGACUUUAUUGAAGACUACAAUGAGAAAAACUAUCAGACAGCAGACGGCUGCAUUCAAGAGAAGAAGACCAUCAAACAUCCACGUCAGCUGAUGGAGGUCCUAAGAGUCUCACUGAAGAACCAACCUACAGAGUGAAGACCUCAAAUCUGAUUGGACGGCCUCCUAUUCAGCCACGUGUGAACAAAUGCCUCUAAGUUGAUUUGUUUUCUAAAAUAAAUCUAGUUUGAGUCCUAAUCUAUGCCUGUGUUUGCUUCUUUACACCGCUGUUAACAGUUUAGGCUGUUAGAUUGUUCCAGAUAAGACAAGUACAAGAUUCUUCAGAGCCGUUCUACCACGAGCCUGACAGGAAGAACUCCAACAGCUACUGAAUGUUCCUGUGGUUCCCUCAAGGCUACAGGAGGAGCCCUACGAGGACGAGCCGGUCCACCUGAUGGUGGCCAGUCGCUGCAGUUCAAAGCC
Molecule: long non-coding RNA, 2606 nt
Organism: Amphiprion ocellaris (clown anemonefish)
Lineage: Eukaryota; Metazoa; Chordata; Actinopteri; Pomacentridae
Source: Ensembl